GUGAGGAAUAUUGGUCAAUGGGCGAGAGCCUGAACCAGCCAAGUCGCGUAAAGGAAGAAGGAUCUAUGGUUCGUAAACUUCUUUUGCAGGGGAAUAAAGUGCAGGACGUGUCCUGUUUUGUAUGUACCCUGAGAAUAAGGAUCGGCUAACUCCGUGCCAGCAGCCGCGGUAAUACGGAGGAUCCGAGCGUUAUCCGGAUUUAUUGGGUUUAAAGGGUGCGUAGGUGGUUUGAUAAGUCAGCGGUGAAAGUUUGCAGCUUAACUGUAAAAAUGCCGUUGAAACUGUCGGACUUGAGUGUAAAUGAGGUAGGCGGAAUGCGUGGUGUAGCGGUGAAAUGCAUAGAUAUCACGCAGAACUCCGAUUGCGAAGGCAGCUUACUAAGCUACAACUGACACUGAAGCACGAAAGCGUGGGGAUCAAACAGGAUUAGAUACCCCGGUAGUCC
This 445-nucleotide ribosomal RNA is filed under the name uncultured bacterium. Its description in RNAcentral is "partial 16S ribosomal RNA". It matches the Rfam family "Bacterial small subunit ribosomal RNA", at positions 354 to 796 of the family's 1533-position model. The record is from RNAcentral.